Molecule: transfer RNA, 75 nt
Filed under: Zalophus californianus (California sea lion)
Lineage: Eukaryota; Metazoa; Chordata; Mammalia; Carnivora; Otariidae
Description: tRNA-Val
Rfam family: tRNA (bases 1-67)
About the family: Transfer RNA (tRNA) molecules are approximately 80 nucleotides in length. Their secondary structure includes four short double-helical elements and three loops (D, anti-codon, and T loops).
Source: RNAcentral
CAAAGUGUGGCUUAAAUAAAGCAUCUGGCUUACACCCAGAAGAUUUCACAUCCAUUGGCCACUUUGAACUUAAAG